Molecule: long non-coding RNA, 3249 nt
Filed under: Numida meleagris (helmeted guineafowl)
Lineage: Eukaryota; Metazoa; Chordata; Aves; Galliformes; Numididae
Description: lncRNA (ENSNMEG00000001325.1)
Source: RNAcentral
CGUGCCCCUCUGUCACCCCCAAAAUGGGCAUUUCUCGCCCCAUUUUAGCUCCAAACCAGCUUCCCCUGCCCCACUUCCACCCCAAGACGGGGUUUUCCGCCCCAUUUUCACCUCCCCAUAGCACCCCCCGUCCCAUUUUCGCCCUAAAAUGAGGCUUCCAGCUGUGACCACCCCCCAUAAGCAGCAUUUCCUGCCCCAUUUUCUCCCCAGUCGGCGCCUCCCGCCCCAUUCCCAUAAGAAAAAUUGGGAUUUCCGCUGCAAAACGGGCUCUUUCACCCUGUUUUCACCCCAAACUGGAAUUCCUCACACCACUUACACCCCAAAAUCGCAUUUCUUGACCCGUUUUCAGCCCCAAACCGGAUUUCACCACCCGAUUUCCACCAAAAAAAGCAGGUUUUCCGCCCGACUUCCACCAAAAAAUGGCUAUUUUUCCCCAUUUCCACCCCAAACCUAGAUUCUUCACGCCAUUUCCCCCCAAAAUCGUGGGGAUUUUUGCCCCGUUUCCACCAAAAUGAGGCUUGCCCGUUUUAUCCCUACCCCCCCCAAUUGGCUCUUCCAUCCCAUUUUCACCCCAAGCCGCAAUUCUUCACCCCAUCUGCAGCCGAAAAUCGCAUUUUUCACCACGUUCUGCCCCACUCUUACCCCAAAAUGGGAUUUUUUUACCCCAUUUUCAGCCGAAAAUCGGCCCCAUUUUUACCCCCAAAGAAUUUCUUUCCCCAUCCACUCGCAUCACAGCAGACCUCCAAUUAACAACCAUUAAUUAAGCGGCGUCCCCGCUCUCGCCAUCGCAACGCAAACCCCUCAGGAUGGGAAAUUCCACCAUGGCCGAGUUGGUUUUUCCCAUUUUUUCCCCCCAAUUUUUUCCUCAAGUUUUCCUUUUUUUCCUACAUUUUCCUUCCUGCGCCAUUUUCCUCUUUCCCAACCUUUUCCUCCCCGAUUUUUUCCCUUUUCCCGGCUUUUUCCCCUCGUUUCCGUCCUCUUUUGUCUCCACGUCCACCCUCUUCUCCAACCUCUUCGUCUUCGACUUUUUCAGCGUCAUCUUCCCCUUUUCUUUCCCAACUUUUCCCUUUUCCCAACAUUUUCCUUCUCCAAUCUCUUUGCAAGUUCUUCCCCAUUUUUGUGCCCAACCUCUCUGUCUUCUCUGCCAUCUCUUAGAGCUCAUCUUUCCCAUUUCCUUCCCAACUUUUCCCAUUUCCUUCCCAACUUUUCCCCAUUUUCCUUCCCAACUUUUCCCCAUUUUCUUCCCCAACUUUUUCCCACUUUCUUUCCCAACUUUUCCCCAAUUUCUUCCCCAACUUUUCCCUUUCCCAUCGCCUCCUCCAACCUCCUCAAUGGGUGAAGCCCCUCUCAGGAUUUCCUUCUUUCCCAUUUCUUUCCUGACUUUUUCCUUCCAAACUUCCCCCUUUUCCCAAAGGUUUCCCACUAUUUUCCUUUUCCACCCUCUUCUACGCGUCCCCUUUCCCCUUUUCCUUCCCAACUUUUCUCUUUUCCCAACAUUUCCCUUCUCCAAUUUCCUCAAUGGGAGAAGCAGCUCCCAUAGUUUCCUUCUUGCCCAUUUCCUUCCCAACUUUUCCCAAAGUUUUCUCAUUAUUUCUCCUCACCAACUUUCCCUUUUUGUCCAACUUCUUCCCCAUCUUUGUGCCCAACCUCUCUGUCCUCUCUGCCAUCUCUUAGAGCUCAUCUUUCCCAUUUCCUUCCCAACUUUUNCCCCAUUUUCUUCCCCAACUUUUCCCCAUUUUCUUCCCCAACUUUUCCCCAUUUUCUUCCCCAACUUUUCCCCAUUUUCUUCCCCAACUUUUCCCCAUUUUCUUCCCCAACUUUCCCCAUUUUCCUUCCCAACUUUUCCCCAUUUUCUUUCCCAACUUUUUCCCAUUUUCUUUCCCAACUUUUCCCUUUCCCAUCGCCUCCUCCAACCUCCUCAAUGGGUGAAGCCCCUCUCAGGAUUUCCUUCUUUCUCAUUUCUUUCCCAACUUUUUCCUUCCCAACAUUCCCAUUUUCCCAAAGGUUUCCCAUUAUUUUUUCCUCUUCCACCCUCUUCAACGCGUCCCCUUUCCCCUUUUCCUUCCCAACUUUUCUCUUCUCCAAUUUCCUCAAUGGGAGAAGCAGCUCCCAUAGUUUCCUUCUUGCCCAUUUCCUUCCCAACUUUUCCCAGAGUUUUCCCAUUAUUUCUCCUCACCAACUUUCCCUUUUUGUCCAACUUCUUCCCCAUUUUUGUGCCCAACCUCUCUGUCUUCUCUGCCAUCUCUUAGAGCUCAUCUUUCCCAUUUUCUUUCCCAACUUUUUCCCAUUUUCUUUCCCAACUUUUCCCAUUUUCUUUCCCAACUUUUCCCAUUUUCUUUCCCAACUUUUCCCAUUUUCUUUCCCAACUUUUCCCCAAUUUCUUCCCCAACUUUUCCCUUUCCCAUCGCCUCCUCCCACCUCCUCAAUGGGUGAAGGCCCUCUCAAGAUUUCCUUCUUUCCCAUUUCUUUCCUUUUUCCUUCCAAACUUCCCCCUUUUCCCAAAGGUUUCCCAUUAUUUUCCUUUUCCACCCUCUUCAACGCGUCCCCCUUUUCCUUCCCAACUUUUCCCUUAUCCCAACAUUUCCCUUCUCGUAUUUCCACAAUAGGAGAAGCAGCUCCCAUAGUUUCCUUCUUGCCCAUUUCCUUCCCAAUUUUUCCCAAAGGUUUCCCAUUAUUUCUCUGGUUUCUCUGCCAUCUCCCAGAGCUCAUCUUUCCCAUUUCCUUCUCAACUUUUCCCUUUUCCCCAACAUUUCCCAGCAUUUCCCUUUCCCAUCCUCUCCUGUAACUCCUCCAUCAGCCGAAGCCACUCUCACCGUUUCCUUCUUUCCCCUUUUCCUUCCCAACUUUCGCCUUUUCCCAAAGUUUUCCCAUUAUUUCUCCUCACCAACUUUGCCUUUUUGUCCAACUUCUUCCCCAUCUUUGUGCCCAACCUCUUUGUCUUCUCUGCCGUCUCUUAGGACUCAACUUUUCCCGUCUUCUUUCCCAUCUUUUCCCGUCUUCUUUCCCACCUUUUCCCGUCUUCUUUCCCAACUUUUCCCACCGCCUCCUCCAACCCGCUCUCACCGUUUCCUUCUUUCCCUUUUCCCUCCCAACUUCCCCCUUUUCCCGCAGUUUUCCCCCCUUUUCCUGCUCCAUCUUUCUCCUCCUGUCCAUCAUCCCUGCCCUCCUUCCCCUCCUUUCUGUCCUCUCAGUCUGAUCCUUCCCGCUUUGUUUCCCACAUUUUUCCUUUCCCCUUUUCCCUCCCUCCCC